UCCCUCAUGUUCCAUACUCCAUCUGGUGCAAACUGACAACAGUGCGCAAACUCCCCUGUUGACACUCCAAAAAGAAAGAAGGUUAGCUCGCUCCUUUACGUCACGUGGUCUAGUUAUUAACUCCCCACGUCAAACUUUUCGAUUUGCUCCCUCCCUCUGAACUCUGAACUGAGAGCGGUGUGGAGAGCCGGCCCGGAGGUCGCGGGAACGUAAAGGCCGAGGCGACGGCCCUUGGUUCUGUGCGGCUGGCGGAGGUCGGUGGUAGCCGGCAGGGACUGGAGGUCGGCGACUUGCGGCAGGCCUGGAGGUAGUCGGCUCGUGGAAGGUGGUAGAGGACUGGAAGUCGGCGGCCUAAACUGGACUGGGAGUGGCGAAAGACGGUUCGUUUAACGGCCUGCUAAAUUACCGCCUAGGCCACAGGCGACGACGGCGACAUCCUACCCGGUACUUCCGGCGACCCACCCAGCGGAGCGGGUAGUAGAGGCUCGAAAUGUUCUUUCGGAGAAGGGAGGAGUUAAAACUACGUAGCGCCUUCGAGUUCCUUGACCUCGGUUUCUAAAACGACGACGUCGCGCACUACCUUUAUCAACUCCUCUCGGGAAUGUCCGGAGUAGAUCUCGUCGACAAGUUGCUAGAAUUCAGACGAAAGAUGGUUCGUCUCCUGUAGAACCUACUACAACUCAUAAUGGCAGAACUCUUUGUCUAUGUUCUACUGAUAGAGUCCAGUGUCCACGGGGCGGAGCUGCGUCGUUCUUAGUACACUUCUUCGAGAACUGCAGACGGUACUUUUUCACGUUGAAGGACUUUCUGGUCCUGAGAUCGUACAGUUUUUAGCUCAACUUCGUCUCGGAUCUUUUUUAUCUUUUCCAGUAUUUACUACGUACACCUAAAAAACUUGUCUACUUGAACGGUUUGUUUUCAUUACGAUUAAACUCGUUUGGACGGUCGAGUGCUCCACGCCAGUGAUGCCGCUCCGGAGGUGGAGACCAUUAGCCUUCUCUAUUUCUAACACUAUUGUAUCAACGUUACGAAGUACUAUUCCUUCUUCUACGAGUUGGUCUAUGGUUAUUCCGAGUUACGAUAAGGCAUUAGCCGUAAGUACCGUAGCCACCAAGACCUUUUAGUUGGGAAAGUGUUGAACAAACACGAGCACUCCUUUUCCUACCGGUAAAGUUGGAACAAUACACCCAAGUGCAAAGUGUCCUAAAAUCACACCUAUGGUAAAAGUCCGUCUACAGACUCCGGCGAUCGUCCUGGGGCACGGGAGUCAAGUUAUUAGAACUGUGGAAUGUCUGAUUAAACGUCUUCUUUGACGUACCUUUUGCCAAGGAGAACCAUGAUCUACUACAAACCAUGUUAUUAUCUCUACACUCCGUCAUACUCUUCGACGUUGUCUAUGAAAGUGGCGACUUGCGACCUCUCCGUCCUUCGUUCUAGGACCACUGAUCAGCUUGAUUUCUGCGUAACUAUCGAGACCCACGACGUCUCGUUUCUACAUAAGGGUACAGUGACGAUCUACUUCUACAGAAGGACUUUAACAAGUUCGUGAUACGUAAAGUGUUGCACACGCAACGACGACUACUGGCCUAUUCUGAGCUUCUGUAACGUUGAGUGUAACGUUUUUUCGACUUCCCUAGUGGAGACCGCCGGUUUGAACAACCUCCCGUCGAUGCAUACUCCGGUUUGUAGCUAAUGACCUCUUCAAGGGCUCUACCCUUGGUGAACCUACUGUGGUACCCUCGAGACACCACCUCGAUGGUUGUAGAACUACUUGUCCAGUCUGCUACGAAACGAAUGACGUCAUAAAAAGGAGCUUCUGCAGAGAACCUUGUUGUACUCAAUCAAUUCGAAACCCGACGUCUUCCCAAACGAUCUUCAUCGUUACUUCCCUUCCUAAACCUUCUACAAACGGUCCCUAUGAAACUACUUGACCACAGUCGGAGUAAAGACGUUGGACUUCAUUUCUUCAUGAGGUCAUUCUUCCUGUGAAUAUAUCAAGUACUAGACAACGAACUAAAUCGUCUAUCCCAACGACCUUCACUAACAAAGUCUUAUCUCUUAGUUACCUUUGUCUAUCCUCUACCGAAUUAUUACCUUCCUACACUUCUCCUUCAAGGGGGUCUGCAGGCGGUAGAAAAACAAGUCUGGAUACCAAGUCUUAACUAUUUACUCUUCUAUACGUUUAACCUGUUGGACGCGUGAGAGUAGUAACUACCGCAUCUACAGUCUUAUGUUCAACUCCUCUUUUGGCAGUUCUCAGACAAACACUCCGAUUUCUUCAACGCCCACGAAUAGUAUGGACAGAUAUUACUAGUUCCAUGUAAAAGUCAGGGUCUUAGAUAACCAGUCGAUUCCGUAGAUGCCAUAGAUGCCGUAGAAGGAAAACUCUGAUCUAAAAAGACCACAACUUUUAGACCACAAGUUGAGAGCACUACUGUACAAACCGGAGUAGUUGAACGCUGUAUACCGGCCUUACGGCAAAGACUUUUAUGGUUCUCAACCGUCCUACUGUAACGAAGCUUGCGACGUUUUUUAGUUUCACCCUUUCCUUGUUCCCACGCUCAACUUCGUUGAGCCGCCGGAGUUGGUCGAGGCACCGUUUGACUCAUAGCGCCCGGAGCUUUUGCAGCUCUGGGUCGUCCUUCGAGAACUUCGGUUCGACCCGCUGUUUCUUCCCGAGUGUUGUAACGUUGACAGCACCCCAGUACUAGUACUACACUCUCCUCUCAACUUCUUUGUCCUCCGAGUGUGUCUCCACGACCUCCCAGAGACGGGCGGGUUCGUAGAGCUUAGUGACUGGUAGAUGAGAAUGGUACCGAACUCUAUGGGUUCAACCUACUACCCACUCGUGCCGCCGCCGGGUUUCAUACACUUCCUUGAGUCGGAGAAGGUAACGUCGUGUCUCGAACCACCCAAGACCGGAGUGGAGGCAAGCAAGAUGUACAUGGCAACGUCGAGCAGGUGGUACGGCCUAGUGUACCUCGUGGACUGCAGCGAGUCCGCGGACCUGGAGCUGACCACGGGCUUGUAGGCCAGCGAAGGCUGCGACGGCGCCAGAGAACUGAUGAACUCAGAGUGGAAGACGGUACUCUACGACUACUCACGCACGUCUUCUCGACCUCUGGGGUUGACCCUUUUCAAAGUCGUGCAAGGAAUACAUACACAGUCGCUGAACCUCCUGCUGUAUCACCUCUGCUCUCGGGCACAUCUACCGCCGCCGAGAAGUAGUAGUAGUCGCGGGUUCUGAGGGAGCUCGCACCUUCGGCACACACUAGGAACUUGGACGGACGGUUAUUAUGUGAAUGACUCAAAAGUUUUAUUACAUGAAUGAUGAACCAGAUGACAUGCAUAGAACGACUCAAACGCUCAGUUGCACGUCGUUACAGGACAUUAUUACGACACUUUGGCACUUACUUGUGACUCGAACGGAACAAAGGGAACCGUACAUGAUACUUUUGCUCUCUACGAGUUGUAGGUGUAAAUAAACAAAGGCUAACCAAACGUCGGUUGACGAACAUGAUGAAGAUGAACGAAAGAACGGG
Molecule: ribosomal RNA, 3542 nt
Filed under: Triticum aestivum (bread wheat)
Lineage: Eukaryota; Viridiplantae; Streptophyta; Magnoliopsida; Poales; Poaceae
Description: partial small subunit ribosomal RNA
Source: RNAcentral